CUCUGAUCCUUUGUUACAGUUCAAGAGGCUCCUGUUUCUGCAGAGGAUCAAAGGACACCAAUGAUUACAUAUAAAACCAGCGCACACAGAAAUCAGGACCUCCUCUGCUGACUUCUCCUCUGCCUCCAGGGCUGGCAGCCAGACUUGCUGCUUCCUGCAGUGCCAUCACCCGGGAGCAUGGGAAAAAGAGAGUGCUCCAGAUCCACUGUGACACUCCCCAAAGGACAAGAUGCACGUGUCAAAGGUGCAGGUGCAGAUGCAGUGCACUCACGUAUGGGUUAAGGAACUGCACAGGGAAGAAUACGGUAAAGGAUUUUGUGGAGGCCCUUUGCCGAAUGUCUGUUUUCAUGAGUUUGCCUUUUAACAUCAGAAGGCUGGACACAAUAUUCUCCAACUGAGCCAUUAAAGGUGCUUCACUCAUCCUCCAGACAGAGCUUCUGGGGGGUGCCAGUAAGACUACAUCAACUGCAGAGAGAGAAAAAAAGAAAGGAAGCACCGAGUGCAAACCUGUCCCCUCUAUGGCCUGGUGUUCUAAAAGAGUCAACCUCACUUCUGGAACAAAAAUGAAGAUGCUGUUGGAGUUGUAAUGCACUGAAAAAACAGCACUCUUUCUCCUCUUCUUCUGACAGAAUGCUUCAGUUAAACAAAAGCUAUAUUUGUGACAUGAGAUAUGUCUGCAGCCCUCCAGGCCUGCCAGUCAACCUGUCAGCCCGACGCUGAAUCUUGUAAAGCCUAACCAUCCGCACUUCCUCCAACGUGGUUGUUACUGCGAUCAGCUUUACACAUGAAUUAGCACAGAGGCUUAUUCUGCAUUCCCUCAGUGGCCAGGUUCUCUCACCUAUAGUUCAUGUCUUUGUAUAACGCUAUUUUUCUUCUAUGUGUGCCUUCAAUGUGAGGCACACAGCUAAGAUAUUUCCUGGCAAACAGAUUGGGCAUAUAUUUGGGAUAGUUUGAAAUUCUCUGCAGAAAACCUGUUGAUUAGCUUAUGGAUUAAGUUUACUAAAAAAAGAAAAGGAAAAACAAACAUGACAUAGUUUAGAGAUGAUCUGAAUUCUUUUAAGGUGGAAGCAAUUAUAGAGAGGACUAUUCUAUACAGAUCUACUAUAGAUAAAAAAAGGUAGAUAAAAUUCAGCAAAUGCUCACUCAUGGUAAUAUCUGCAAACGAUCAUAGAAAGCAAUUAAACAUUUUCUUGAGAGGAAAGCUUAAGUUCAGCUAAUUAAAUACGAAGAAAUAUCAGCAUACAGAAUGAGGGUGCAACCAUGUUGAAAGGUCCAGAAUUGCCAUCCCAAAAGAUCACAAGAGAAGUUGAAUAUAAGCAGCAGCAUUUUUCAAGAGAAAUUUAACAGCAAAGAUUUAAACUUGAAAACACAGACUGUACUUGAAAAAAAAAUCUGUCUGAAAAAUAGGUGAUGGCAACACCAGUUGGAAAACAAAUAAAGCUUAAAAGGAAAACUGCAAGUAAGUUUCUUUUCCUGAUCUCAUUCCUGCCCAAAUCAAAUGAGGCUCAUUUUUGCCAACAUAACAUUCAAAGCUACAAAGCCAACCAAGUUCCACAAUUGAAGUGAAGGCAGUGAAGGCAAGAACCUCUAAUUAAGUCUCCAAAAGAGCCCCACCCAUACAUGUAAUAGAGAGGACUAUCGUACCAUUCAGUAUCAAAUGACAAGAGACUCAAGAUGAUGUCAUGCGUCAGUUUACCCUGGAGAAAGCUUCUUUUACCCAGAAGCCUGGAUGCUUUUUGAAAAUGAAUUCGUAGAUGACAAAACAUUCUGAAAAAUCUAACAAAAUCUGAAGGAAGACACUAAUCUGAUUUGCGUGUUUCUGCGUGCAAAACAAAACUAUUUCCCUGCCAAAAUCAGAGCAAGCACGUAUCUGCGUGUAUCUACAAUAGAUCCCAACUGACUCUUUUCAUAAAAUACAAUUUCAGUGCACACAAAGCCUGACAGUGACUGUACUGAAACUGCAGCACAUACACCCAUCAGAAUAACAAGCAAUAUACCCCAUAUAUGCUUACAUCCAGGCAAAACAUUCACAAAUAUGACAACUUCACUUUCAUCAUCUGGCAACCCAGCAAUCAACCAACUUUUGUCCUUUCUUUCUAUCCCGACAGCUACAUUCAAGAGCUCUUUGUCUCUCAUUUUGAUUAUUGUAAUUACCUCCUUCCUCGCCUCCUUAGCAGCAAAAUUCCUUCCCUCCUCCCAUACAUUACACAAAUACGGUUACCGAGUUCACUUUAGCUUUUUGAUCAAACUUGCACUAUCUGCCAUCUGCCAUAAAGGUGAAUUUUUCUGUUGGCAAUGUUGCACCAGCCAUCUGAGAGUCCUCUUUCAUCUAGACCAGUGGUUUGUACUUUAAUCACCUUCCUUAAGUGUCUCACAUUCAGUGGGAUUU
Molecule: long non-coding RNA, 2389 nt
Organism: Numida meleagris (helmeted guineafowl)
Lineage: Eukaryota; Metazoa; Chordata; Aves; Galliformes; Numididae
Exons: 5
Source: RefSeq, a predicted model, not a curated record